GGACUACAAGGGUUUCUAAUCCUGUUCGCUCCCCUAGCUUUCGCACCUGAGCGUCAGAAACUUGCCAGGAGACUGCCUUCGCUUUCGGUGUUCCUCCGGAUCUCUACGCAUUUCACCGCUCCACCCGGAAUUCCGUCUCCCCCUCAAGUCCUCAAGUCCACCAGUUUUCGAAGUCCUUUCCCAGUUAAGCCGGAAACUGUCACUCCAAACUUGGCAGACCGCCUGCGCGCGCUUUACGCCCAAUAAAUCCGGACAACACUUGCCCCCUACGUAUUACCGCGGCGGCUGGCAC
Molecule: ribosomal RNA, 292 nt
Filed under: uncultured bacterium
Lineage: Bacteria
Description: partial 16S ribosomal RNA
Source: RNAcentral